RNAcentral lists this long non-coding RNA (2253 nucleotides) under Daucus carota (carrot). Its description in RNAcentral is "long non-coding RNA (DCAR_LNC003776)". The record is from RNAcentral. Lineage: Eukaryota; Viridiplantae; Streptophyta; Magnoliopsida; Apiales; Apiaceae.
UGAAAAGAGAGGUACAUUUACGACACUAGACAUGUUUCCUAAAGUUAAAAGUCUUGUUAUGCCAAGUAUGUUCUCUCAAUUUCCAGUUGUUGGUUACUCUAAUGGCAUUGUUUGUUUAGAAAAUAUCUCGAAUUAUGCUAUUUACCUCUGGAAUCCGACUAUUAGGCAGUACAAGAAAAUCGAUGCUCCUUUUCGAUGCAGAUUCAACUAUAAGUUAGGUUUUGGUUUUGAUUCUAUUUCUAACGACUACAAGGUAUUUGGUAUUGUGUAUGAAACAUGGACUGCCGUUAUACCUUUAGUCUUUGUGUAUUCGGCAAAUGCCGAUAGUUGGAGAAAAUUUCAAGAUCCUGUUCUGGAAAAACUCAAUCCAAUAUACAAGGAUUGUCAUGUUGUUGCAAAAGGUGUACUCUAUUUCUACAACAGGAAUGAGCUCAUCUCUUUUGAUUUGCACAAAGAGGUUUUUGGACUAGUUCCGUUCCCUAGCUUAGAUCCAAGAAAGAUGUCACACAUCUUUGAUUAUGAAGGUUCUGUUGCUCUGUUCUUCCACUCUGAUGGUAAUGGAGGAUCUGAUCUAUGGACGUUGGAUGAUGCUUCUCACCAGGUGUCUUGGUCUAAAAAAUGCAACAUUAAUCUAAUGACCGAGGAAUAUGGGUGCUCUAUAAUGCCACAUUGUUAUUUGGGUGAAGGACAGUUUUGGGGACUGUCACUUGUCGAUGUCAAUGUCCCUGUUGAAGAUAGCAUCUUCCACUACAUCUUGUAUAACUCCGACAAGAGAAAGGCCAAAGGUUAUGGCCUAAGAGAAGAGGGUGUUCUUGCUACUCUACAAUACACGGAUACACGUGUUACAUUUGAUGGUUUUCAACCACUGGAGGAAAAUGCCAACUAAAUCAAUUUCGAGGAAAUAACAUCGAGAGGUAACUUAAUAAAAGUUUUUUUUAAUCUAUUGUUGUGUAGCCUCUAGAAUCUACAUAUAAUGCUUGUUUGAUUGACAUGUGAGUAACCAGAGAUUUGAAUUUCCUAAGAAAGGCGCACUGAAAAUGUUGUUUGGUUGACAUGUAUGGGAACUGUGAAUACCCACAUCGUACAGUAAGUUGCUUACUCACUCCCUCUUGGUUAGUUCCACUUCUAUGGACUUAAAUACCUAUAUGUCACCCAACCAAUUUUUCCUACUUACUAGGCAUUUUAAAUUCCAAGUACUUAAAAAUUUUUGACAGGAAUUUAAUUCCAUUCUUGUUUUCAGCAAGUUGCUUACAAGUACUCCGGCGAAUGUGCUUUUACGGGACAUGUGUUCCAUUAUAAUAUAUUGGUGCCUUUAUUAUCUGAUAUUGAUUUAUUAAAUUUCGUAUCACCCAAGUACCCGGUGAAUUGGAUAAAUUAACAAUUCUUCUAUCCAUGACAACCUAUGUGUGUGGGUUUGUAUGUUGUAAUUAGUUUGUGUGUGUGUGUGUAUGAUACCAUGUUUUUAAAAUGUGAACNUCAAAAGAUCUUCGAAUCAUGAAAACAUAUCGACAGUGAUUUUAAUUUUGAUUCAGUUUUAGGAUAACUUCCAACUUAUCACAAACGGAUAUUUCUCCGGUUAAUAUGAAAAAUGGUUUGAAGUCCGGCGUUGAAAUAGGCUCCACGAUUUGAAGCGUAUAAAGUAAGACAAUAAGUCGAAUUAAAGCUAUCCCUGCUCCCCAACCCUAGCACAGUUGCAUUCAGCUUUUCAAUUGAAUAUUACCCAUCUUCUUCAUCAUCAUCUUUAAUGGCAAAGAGAUCCAUGAGGUCCUUAUCCGACUUACCCGAAGGAAUGAUCACAGAAAUACUCAUCAGACUUCCCGAGAAAUCAGUGCUGAUAUGUAAGUCCGUUUGCAAGCCAUGGCUAUCCACCAUCUCGAACCCUGGUUUCAUGAAAUAUCAAAUCCAGCAUGCCAUGAAUAACCCUAAUACUUUGCUAGUCAUCAAAAAUUAUGCCCUCGGAGAUGAAAAGAGAGGUACAUUUACGACACUAGACAUGUUUCCUAAAGUUAAAAGUCUUGUUAUGCCAAGUAUGUUCUCUCAAUUUCCAGUUGUUGGUUACUCUAAUGGCAUUGUUUGUUUAGAAAAUAUCUCGAAUUAUGCUAUUUACCUCUGGAAUCCGACUAUUAGGCAGUACAAGAAAAUCGAUGCUCCUUUUCGAUGCAGAUUCAACUAUAAGUUAGGUUUUGGUUUUGAUUCUAUUUCUAACGACUACAAGGUAUUUGGUAUUGUGUAUGAAACAUGGACUGCCGUUAU